RNAcentral lists this ribosomal RNA (253 nucleotides) under uncultured bacterium. Its description in RNAcentral is "partial 16S ribosomal RNA". It matches the Rfam family "Bacterial small subunit ribosomal RNA", at positions 524 to 776 of the family's 1533-position model. The record is from RNAcentral.
UACGUAGGUGGCAAGCGUUGUCCGGAUUUACUGGGCGUAAAGAGCGCGCAGGCGGUCGUUCAAGUCGCGUGUGAAAGCCCCCGGCUCAACUGGGGAGGGUCACGCGAUACUGAUCGACUCGAAGACAGGAGAGGGAAGUGGAAUUCCCGGUGUAGUGGUGAAAUGCGUAGAUAUCGGGAGGAACACCAGUGGCGAAGGCGACUUCCUGGCCUGUUCUUGACGCUGAGGCGCGAAAGCUAGGGGAGCAAACGGG